The sequence is a ribosomal RNA, 437 nucleotides long. It matches the Rfam family "Bacterial small subunit ribosomal RNA", at positions 341 to 792 of the family's 1533-position model.
ACGGGAGGCAGCAGUGGGGAAUAUUGGGCAAUGGGCGAAAGCCUGACCCAGCAACGCCGCGUGAAGGAAGAAGGUCUUCGGAUUGUAAACUUCUUUUAUCAGGGACGAAGGAAGUGACGGUACCUGAUGAAUAAGCCACGGCUAACUACGUGCCAGCAGCCGCGGUAAUACGUAGGUGGCAAGCGUUAUCCGGAUUUACUGGGUGUAAAGGGCGUGCAGCCGGGAAGGCAAGUCAGAUGUGAAAUCCACGGGCUUAACUCGUGAACUGCAUUUGAAACUGUUUUUCUUGAGUGUCGGAGGGGCAAUCGGAAUUCCUAGUGUAGCGGUGAAAUGCGUAGAUAUUAGGAGGAACACCAGUGGCGAAGGCGGAUUGCUGGACGAUAACUGACGGUGAGGCGCGAAAGUGUGGGGAGCAAACAGGAUUAGAUACCCUGGUA